Long non-coding RNA from Cygnus olor (mute swan), 3761 nucleotides. RefSeq lists it as uncharacterized. The record is from RefSeq and is a predicted model, not a curated record. Lineage: Eukaryota; Metazoa; Chordata; Aves; Anseriformes; Anatidae. The transcript is spliced from 3 exons.
GCCCUAUACUUAGGGUUAAAAUGCAAAACUUCUAACUUCCCUUCAUGCCAGUGGCACAGAUGACUAGGACAGGGGUUGUUGCAACAGGGUCUAUACAGCAAGCAGAAGAAGUGUUGUCCUUCUUCUUUUUAGCUGCUGAAUUUGGUUGUCCAGUGGAAGUGCGAGUCUCUGAGCGGAGUGCAGCCCGUUGCCAGCUCUGUGCCCACCUUUCCUGUCCCGUGCAGUGGUGAGCUUGUUCUCCAGAGAGCACGUUGCUCUUGCCAUAACGAACAGCCUAGACAUUCAGCCCAGCUCACAGCCUGGACAGUCAGGAGCCAGCUAACAAAAGAAAUCCUGAGGAGAGGGAAAAGCAUCGUAGCUAUGAAGAGCAAUUAAACAGACCAGGGAUCUUCAGCCUGCGAGUUAGCUGAGGAGAGAUCCAGUAGAGGUGUAUAAAAUUAUGAGUGGCCUGGAAAAAUGAAUUGGUUGCUACUCUUUUACUUCAGUUACCAGAAAAAGCAGAUUCAGAAGAAACCAAAGGAGCCAUGAGAUAGAUUCUGAAGAUUUUGUCUGGAGGGGAAAAGUGCCCUACCCUUUUGCUGAAAGGUCUGCAUUAGGUUGUGCUGUUUGAUUUUACUUUACAUUAAGAUCUUGGAUCUGAGGCUUAAGCCAGUGAGAAAAGCUUCCACAGCAUUGCUGCAGGAUGACUGUGCCUAUAUAAUAACUGCACAUAAAGGUGCUCUAUUUGUACUUUAAUGAGAAAAAUCCCAAAUAGGCAAAUCCAUUUGACAGUUCCAUUCCUGAGAAAAAAAUGCCUCUUCCAGAGCAGCUUGGGGUUGCCAUGUAGUAUGUCCUUCUAAUGUACGGGACCUGCAGGAUGCUAUAGCAGAGAACAGACUUCUGCCAAUUUGCUGUAGAAAUCAGUCAAAUUUUCUAUUCUUAAAUCUAAGCCAGAAAUCUGAUGUAUUAUUUAAAGUAGAAUCAUCUGUUCCACAGGUUAAGGUAUUAGGAGAACAGAGAAGAUGAGAUUAUAUUAAGAAAGUCCUGCAAUGUGGAAGGAUUUUGGAGAUCAAAUGUAGACAUUUCUUGAGAGGUUUGUCUUUAGAAGACCUAGACUAAGUCCAUCCUCUACAAUCAUGUAGAGGAGGGAUUCAAAACUGUGUCUCCUGGUGCGAUUUAGUGCCCUGCAGUUCAACUCUGGAGUGAAUUAUUUCUUUUUCUUUUUUCACAUGGGAUAAGGAUGGAACAUGGAUAGGAUAAAUCCUAGCUUGUUCUGCCCACUGAUUGUCCCUAAGAUGCACCACACAGGACAGUCACAGUGUCUAGUUAAGACCUGUGAAAGUCAGUUUAGCAGAUAGUGACAGAAUUAGGAAAUGUGUGUGUUUGAAGCACAAGUGGAUUCUGCCAGUUGCUUGGGCAUCAAGGCUUUAGAAUCAACGCUGUGACCAAGAGACAGCCUACCGGCUAUGAAGAACAAAGGGGAAAUCUUGCUAGGAUUUUCAUACACACCUCUCUUUCCCUUUGAAGAUGAUAGUUGUUGAGACAGGGAGCUCUUUGGCCCAGGUUCUCAAUUUUUUGACCUUGUUUAUAUUGCACCUAGCACAAGAGUGCCCUUACUACUUGCUUAGGAUUCUUUGGGAUUCUUGUAUUAUACUUUGGAAACACUCUAAGAACUAUUCAUGUAAUAGAAAUACCAAAAGGAACCUUCCCAGCACCCCUUCUCCUGUGAGAGAUCCUUUGUGGUUUCUCUCAUACCCUCAAGGCUUGUGAGCGUGAUUUUAUCCCAUGCCAAGUGACACUUGAAUUUCCCAGUGCUGAGGUUUUUCUCCAUUUUUGUCUAGGUCAACUUCCCACAUGUGUGAGUCUGAGUGGAGCCAUUUCAAGGCUCAGUCUCCAUAGGGUGCUAACCAUGCCAAAGCUCUGACCACAUCCAAAUUCUAGUAGAGGGCUUGGAGAUGGCCUCUCUUUCCCCCAAGUUGCCUGCUUGUACUAAAUACUGGGGCAGCUCUCUAAAAUACUGAAGGAACAAGCAUGCAAGGCAGUAAAAUGAGGCAAUUAAACCUAUAAAACCAGGGUUUACAAGGAAAUUUAUAGUGUCAGAGGCUUUUUAUAGCUUUUUUAGAUUAGUUUAAAUAAAAAAGGGGGAGAGAGAAAAAGACAGAGAGAGAGAGAGAGGACCUGAAACUUGAGGAGACUUGAAAGUUCAGAGAAAGGCUUUUAGGAAACACAGAGGGGUAAUAAUUAGAGGCACAUUUUCCAUUUCACUGUCUUUGCAAAUUGAAAUUAAAGAAGGAGAAAAAAAAGCAUGCACAAAAUAACUGGCAGUUUACAUUGCUCCCACUUCCUGCUAUUCCCAUUUGAUUUUUCUGUUGCUGUUCUUUUGUUUUCUGGUCAGGUGAAAACAUCUUUUCACCUGGGCAAAGGAACUAAAGUGAAAGUGAUCUCAAGUAAAGCAAAAUGGUAUUUGGCUGUUUUUUCCCCUUCUCUGCUAGGCCUAUACUUGCUUGGUUUUAUAGUGCACUGUGUGCCUUGCAGCUCUAGGAGCUUGUGUUCAAGAGCUAAAAUGGAGCCAGCACCUGAUUAAGGCAGAUUUGGUCAGGUAAGACAAUAGGCCCUGUGUUUUAAAGAGUAUGCCACAUUUCACAGCUUCUCCUGCUUCCUUUUCCACUGCAGUGCACAAUGUGUGCGUGAGUACAAACACACACACAUCAGCUUGUGCCCAGUUAGACCCAUUCUUGGCUUUAGUCUGCUUCUACCUGGAAUGAAUGAAUGGUGAUCAAGAUCUUUCAAAUCCCACAUCCUUCUCUGUCUUCCAAGUAGAUUCAUAAAAAGGCCAAAGUCUGCUGCUCUGCUAAUUGUCUUGCUGUUGUAGUGUUGUUUUGUAAUUUUGGUCUUUUUAGAAAUGUCCCCAAAGUCUGUGCUCUGUGAUGAUAUGGACAACAGUCUCACCUUAAACACAUGGGUACCUCAUUCUAGUGUGAAGGGGAAAUGUCCACUGGCAACAUCUUUGUCAUCAUCAUGCUAUCUGCGUUUAUGCCAUUCGUAAAAUUACUCUUUCUGUGGUGUUUCCGAGAUACUGGCUGCCACAGCUGUGUUAGAGAGCUGAGUGCUGUCUUCAUGAAACACAUUGCUUCAUACCCUCUCUUUACCUCAUUUUCUUUCCCAGAUAGAGUAUGCUGUGAUUAGUGUGGUAGAGUAUAAAUUCUGUUUGGUUGCUAACUAUGCAAUCAGUAAAUUACUAAUUAACCAUAGCAAUUCAUCAUCCUUCUACUGUGUAGAUUUGUAGAGAAACCUACCAUUUCUCUAAGGCAAUAAAAAUAAACUUACAGAAAGAUAGAAAACAGCAACCUGCACUUCAGGUCAGUUUAAACUGCUUAUGUGGGAACAUUUUGGCUGAUGGGGAUGGUGCCACAGGAUACGUGUUCUGCCACAGGAGAAGCAUUUCACCACCCUUGAGUUCUUCAGAGGAAAGGAAGGUUGUUCUUUAUAAUCUUUGGCUAAUUGAAGUUGAUGCAUUCAUUGUAACAGAUAUAUUGAUAAUUGGAAUAUCUAUGGAACACAGUGAUUGGUUACUAGCUGAGUGACACAAGUGUUUUCAAGCAAAGUCAUUUUUUUCAGGUGUUACCUUUUGGUGUUCACAGUUCCUGUUGUGGUAUCAUGAUACUAUUUUGGUUUCUUUGCCCACCUGUCUUAAGCAGUCUAAGCAGCAGAGGGAAGGUUGCUAUUCCGUUCAGGUUUUGGGGGCAUUUGUGUUAAAACUGGUGAAAUAUGUGGCAUUUCAU